This 429-nucleotide ribosomal RNA is filed under the name Chloroflexota bacterium. RNAcentral describes it as "Chloroflexi bacterium partial 16S ribosomal RNA". It matches the Rfam family "Bacterial small subunit ribosomal RNA", at positions 355 to 776 of the family's 1533-position model. The record is from RNAcentral. Lineage: Bacteria; Bacillati; Chloroflexota.
UGGGGAAUAUUGCACAAUGGGCGCAAGCCUGAUGCAGCCAUGCCGCGUGUGUGAAGAAGGCCUUCGGGUUGUAAAGCACUUUCAGCGGGGAGGAAGGCGAUAAGGUUAAUAACCUUGUCGAUUGACGUUACCCGCAGAAGAAGCACCGGCUAACUCCGUGCCAGCAGCCGCGGUAAUACGGAGGGUGCAAGCGUUAAUCGGAAUUACUGGGCGUAAAGCGCACGCAGGCGGUCUGUCAAGUCGGAUGUGAACUCCCCGGGCUCAACCUGGGAACUGCAUUCGAAACUGGCAGGCUAGAGUCUUGUAGAGGGGGGUAGAAUUCCCGGUGUAGCGGUGAAAUGCGUCGAGAUCUGGAGGAAUACCGGUGGCGAAGGCGGCCCCCUGGACAAAGACUGACGCUCAGGUGCGAAAGCGUCGGGAGCAAACAGG